This 459-nucleotide ribosomal RNA is filed under the name uncultured bacterium. RNAcentral's name for it is "partial 16S ribosomal RNA". It matches the Rfam family "Bacterial small subunit ribosomal RNA", at positions 338 to 795 of the family's 1533-position model. The record is from RNAcentral.
CCUACGGGAGGCUGCAGUGAGGAAUAUUGGUCAAUGGGAGAGAUCCUGAACCAGCCAAGUCGCGUGAGGGAAGAUGGCCCUAUGGGUUGUAAACCUCUUUUGUCGGGGAGCAAAAGCCGCGACGCGUCGCGUACUGAGUGUACCCGAAGAAAAAGCAUCGGCUAACUCCGUGCCAGCAGCCGCGGUAAUACGGAGGAUGCGAGCGUUAUCCGGAUUUAUUGGGUUUAAAGGGUGCGUAGGCGGUAGAUUAAGUCAGCGGUAAAAUUGAGGGGCUCAACCCCGUCGAGCCGUUGAAACUGGUUGUCUUGAGUGGGUGAGAAGUAUGCGGAAUGCGUGGUGUAGCGGUGAAAUGCAUAGAUAUCACGCAGAACUCCGAUUGCGAAGGCAGCAUACCGGCGCUCAACUGACGCUCAGGCACGAAAGUGUGGGUAUCGAACAGGAUUAGAUACCCUUGUAGUC